Molecule: ribosomal RNA, 468 nt
Filed under: uncultured bacterium
Lineage: Bacteria
Description: partial 16S ribosomal RNA
Rfam family: Bacterial small subunit ribosomal RNA
Source: RNAcentral
GACGAACGCUGGCGGCGUGCCUAACACAUGCAAGUCGAACGGAAAGGCCCUGCUUUUGUGCGGUGCUCGAGUGGCGAAGGGGUGAGUAACACGUGAGUAACCUGUCCCUGACUGUGGGAUAACUUCAUGAAACUGGGGCUCUUACCGCAUAGGAUCUCCUGCCGCAUGUUGGGGGCUGGUUAGUUUCGGCGGUUGGGGAUGUACUCGCUGCUUAUCAGCUCGUUGGUGGGGUAGUGGCUUACCAAGGCUUUGAAGGGUAGCCGGCCUGAGAGGGUGACCGGCCACAACAGGACUGAGAUAGGGCCCAGACUCGAACGGGAGGCAGCGGUGGAGAGUAUUACACAGUAGGCGGAAGCAAGGUGCGACCCCGCCGGGUGCGGGAUGACGGGCUUCGGGUUGUAAACCGAUUUCGCCUGAGACGAGGCGAUAGUGACGGUAAUGGGUAAAGAAGCACCGGCUAACUACGUG